This 406-nucleotide ribosomal RNA is filed under the name Portunus pelagicus (sand crab). RNAcentral describes it as "partial 16S large subunit ribosomal RNA". It matches the Rfam family "Bacterial large subunit ribosomal RNA", at positions 1915 to 2597 of the family's 2925-position model. The record is from RNAcentral. Lineage: Eukaryota; Metazoa; Arthropoda; Malacostraca; Decapoda; Portunidae.
AAUUAUUAAAUAGCCGCGGUAUCUUGACCGUGCAAAGGUAGCAUAAUCAUUAGUUUUUUAAUUGAAAACUUGUAUGAAUGGUUGGACAAAGAAAAAGCUGUCUCUUUCAUUAAAAUUGAAUUUAACUUCUAAGUGAAAAGGCUUAGAUAUUUUAGAGGGACGAUAAGACCCUAUAAAGCAUUGGGUUGGGGCAACAAAAGUAUAAUUAAUAACUGCUAUAAAUUACUACAAUUAUUUUUGUGUUGAUCCUCGAAAGGGAUUAAAAGAUCAAGUUACUUUAGGGAUAACAGCGUAAUUUAUCUUGAGAGUUCUUAUCAAAGGAUAAGUUUGCGACCUCGAUGUUGAAUUAAAAUGUCUUUAUAGUGCAGCAGCUAUACAAGAAGGUCUGUUCGACCUUUAAUUUUUU